ACAUGCAAGUCGAGCGGUAGAGAGAAGCUUGCUUCUCUUGAGAGCGGCGGACGGGUGAGUAAUGCCUAGGAAUCUGCCUGGUAGUGGGGGAUAACGUUCGGAAACGGACGCUAAUACCGCAUACGUCCUACGGGAGAAAGCAGGGGACCUUCGGGCCUUGCGCUAUCAGAUGAGCCUAGGUCGGAUUAGCUAGUUGGUGGGGUAAUGGCUCACCAAGGCGACGAUCCGAACUGGUCUGAGAGGAUGAUCAGUCACACUGGAACUGAGACACGGUCCAGACUCCUACGGGAGGCAGCAGUGGGGAAUAUUGGACAAUGGGCGAAAGCCUGAUCCAGCCAUGCCGCGUGUGUGAAGAAGGUCUUCGGAUUGUAAAGCACUUUAAGUUGGGAGGAAGGGCCAUUACCUAAUACGUGAUGGUUUUGACGUUACCGACAGAAUAAGCACCGGCUAACUCUGUGCCAGCAGCCGCGGUAAUACAGAGGGGCAAGCGUUAAUCGGAAUUACUGGGCGUAAAGCGCGCGUAGGUGGUUUGUUAAGUUGGAUGUGAAAUCCCCGGGCUCAACCUGGGAACUGCAUUCAAAACUGACUGACUAGAGUAUGGUAGAGGGUGGUGGAAUUUCCUGUGUAGCGGUGAAAUGCGUAGAUAUAGGAAGGAACACCAGUGGCGAAGGCGACCACCUGGACUGAUACUGACACUGAGGUGCGAAAA
RNAcentral lists this ribosomal RNA (709 nucleotides) under Pseudomonas rhodesiae. RNAcentral's name for it is "bacterial SSU rRNA". It matches the Rfam family "Bacterial small subunit ribosomal RNA", at positions 53 to 759 of the family's 1533-position model. Lineage: Bacteria; Pseudomonadati; Pseudomonadota; Gammaproteobacteria; Pseudomonadales; Pseudomonadaceae. The record is from RNAcentral.